AUCUGGAGCUCUUUUAACAAGAUCCAUGAAUUUUCGAGUCAAAUAAACCAAGGAUGCAUCAAAUCGAGGCCUUUUGACCUUCAGAGUUUCUGUAAUGUUUUUGACACAAUAUUUAGGCAUGUGUCACCACUGUAAGAAGAAAAACAAUAAAUACUUCAAGGAUAACACAUGGAAUGCAGCCACUUACUUUUUACAACUGGUACGUCAUCA
Molecule: long non-coding RNA, 210 nt
Filed under: Gallus gallus (chicken)
Lineage: Eukaryota; Metazoa; Chordata; Aves; Galliformes; Phasianidae
Source: RNAcentral